AUAUCGAACCUGUUGCAACAUG
Molecule: microRNA, 22 nt
Filed under: Octopus vulgaris (common octopus)
Lineage: Eukaryota; Metazoa; Mollusca; Cephalopoda; Octopoda; Octopodidae
Also listed under: 1 other name
Description: Ovu-Mir-12569_5p (mature (guide))
Source: RNAcentral